GAAGAAUUUUCUUGCUGUGGCUCCCGGAGUAACUGAAGUGCAUGUUUUCAUUGCAACACAUACUGUGCAUUCCUUUCUUGAAGCUGUAGCAGUUGCCUUACAGUGUGCCUAAGACUCCAAGGGAAGAUAAAGAGCCUACAUUAUAAGUUGGAUGGAGAGAACUCACAACAUUAUUGCUAUUACUGCAGCAGGCAGCAAAAUUAAGAUCUGAGAGAUUUUCAACAUAUAACCUCCAAUUCUGCUUCCCAUGAGUAUUUCAUGCAGGUUACAUUGAAACUGAAAAAAGAAGGGCAGGGUGAAUGUGACUUUAUGCAAAUCUGUUGAGAAUGUGGAAUAAGUAUUCACAAAAAGGCUUUUUAUGCCUUACUUAUUCCUCCUUAGUUAAAUAUAUGACACACAUCAACUAUGGCAGGUAAAUGUGCACCUACAGAAAGAAAUCUGGUGAGAAUAUGAUAAAGGUCUUGCUUGGCUGAAACAGAAAUUACCAGUAGACUUGGGUGCACAAGUUAGUCUUGUGAUGAUGAUGAUGAUGAUGAUUCACUUGGGGGAACUGUGAGGGGUUUGUAAAAUGACUUACAUAAAUUUGUAGUUAUUGCAUAAAUGCAAAUAUUUAGAUGGAGUGUUCACAGUAGUUUGCCACAAUAGGGAAAAGCAGUCAUAGGGGAAGGGUUUUUUUCCAUCUCACUUAUGUACGUAACCGUUGUCCAAGACACUCUGUACACUCCAUGGAGAGAUACAGACACUUUAAGGAAGUGAUUCAUCUCAGUUUUAGACAUCUAAAAUAAGGCAGAUGGAACAGUCUAUCUCUCUUCACAGAAGAACUUUUAGUCUGAAUUGCAUCCUAACAAGCAGGCCACUGGUUGGAGAAUAUUACCACAUGCAGGCAAACACAGAUCAUGUCUCAGCACCCUGCCACCAGUAUGGUCAAAUAUUAAGUGAUAGUGUCUGUCCAUAUAGCAAAUUCUUUUUCAGCUGCAGUAGAAAUAUCUGGUGAAUCAAUCAUAAUUGUGCUUAAAUGUGUAGUCAAAUAUACACAACGCAGAACACACUGUUCCAGUCAAUCAGGAAUUAACCCCCACCAUGCAGAAAAGUUUCAGUUUGCAUUUGUGAAGUUUGUAUUAAGGAAGAACAAUGCUGGUGUGACUGUAAAUUCAGAAUUCUUUUCCCCAGAAUAAUUGAGUUUGGUUUGGAUUUGAUUUUGCAAAGAUGCAGAGCAUUUUCUGGAUGUACAUUUCCCUGACUUCUUGGAAGAGAAGGACACGGUGCCUCAUGAGAUCAAGUCCUCACACCAUGCAGGAUGCCUGUAUCUGAACUGCUGUGCUCCUUAGAUGUGUCACAUUUUGAAAUGCCCUGCAAAACUAUCACUUACCUUCCACUACUGCUGCCAGAUGCCAGACAAAAUGAGUCAGGUGUCUAAGACUGGCUGAUUGGCCAAGCUCUAUCUAUAAUUGAUGGAGACAAGCACUUUGGAAGGGAGAUUCAGCUGGUCUAUGGAGAUUGUGAAUCACAUUGCCUCUCUCUUGCCCCUAGUUACUUCUUGGCACCCUUCUUGGCACACCACCUUUUGUGGCACCUUUCAGUUGCACUGAUACUGCUCUUUGUGUCUGUGGCAUUAAUUAAAAAGCUUAAAUUAUCUGGGAUUAAAAAAAAACAAACACAAAAAACCAAAACAAAAACUAAAACCCAAGCACUGUUCCACAUACUACCAGUUAAAAGGAAAUCUAUUCCCUGCCUGUACCUUAUUGUGUGUUGGUGUAGAAUUUUAUGAAAAUCAAUCAAUUUUUAAAACAGCAAUGGCAAUCUAUCCAGGGAACUAAUUUAAAUAAAAAAUGUGCUUUUGUUGUGUCUUCUGUGCUUUUG
Molecule: long non-coding RNA, 1860 nt
Organism: Zonotrichia albicollis (white-throated sparrow)
Lineage: Eukaryota; Metazoa; Chordata; Aves; Passeriformes; Passerellidae
Source: RefSeq, a predicted model, not a curated record